RNAcentral lists this ribosomal RNA (468 nucleotides) under uncultured bacterium. Its description in RNAcentral is "partial 16S ribosomal RNA". It matches the Rfam family "Bacterial small subunit ribosomal RNA", at positions 28 to 507 of the family's 1533-position model. The record is from RNAcentral.
GACGAACGCUGGCGGCGUGCUUAACACAUGCAAGUCGAACGGAAAGGCCCUGCUUUUGUGGGGUGCUCGAGUGGCGAACGGGUGAGUAACACGUGAGUAACCUGCCCUUGACUUUGGGAUAACUUCAGGAAACUGGGGCUAAUACCGGAUAGGAGCUCCUGCUGCAUGGUGGGGGUUGGAAAGUUUCGGCGGUUGGGGAUGGACUCGCGGCUUAUCAGCUUGUUGGUGGGGUAGUGGCUUACCAAGGCUUUGACGGGUAGCCGGCCUGAGAGGGUGACCGGCCACAUUGGGACUACGAUACGGCCCAGACUCCUACGGGAGGCAGCAGUGGGGAGUAUUGCACAAUGGGCGGAAGCCUGAUGCAGCAACGCCGCGUGCGGGAUGACGGCCUUCGGGUUGUAAACCGCUUUCGCCUGUGACGAAGCGUGAGUGACGGUAAUGGGUAAAGAAGCACCGGCUAACUACGUG